RNAcentral lists this ribosomal RNA (566 nucleotides) under uncultured bacterium. RNAcentral's name for it is "bacterial SSU rRNA". It matches the Rfam family "Bacterial small subunit ribosomal RNA", at positions 921 to 1483 of the family's 1533-position model. The record is from RNAcentral.
CCGCACAAGCGGUGGAGUAUGUGGUUCAAUUCGACGCAACGCGAAGAACCUUACCAGUCCUUGACAUGUCCACUAUGGGCCUGAGAGAUCAGGUCCUUCACUUCGGGUGGGUGGAACACAGGUGCUGCAUGGCUGUCGUCAGCUCGUGUCGUGAGAUGUUGGGUUAAGUCCCGCAACGAGCGCAACCCUCAUCUUCAGUUGCCCCCGGGUCAGGCCGGGCACUCUGAAGAAACCGCCGGUGACAAGCCGGAGGAAGGCGGGGAUGACGUCAAGUCCUCAUGGCCCUUACGGACUGGGCUACACACGUACUACAAUGGUGGUGACAGUGGGCAGCGAAAGCGCGAGCCGGAGCUAAUCCCCAAAAGCCAUCUCAGUUCAGAUUGCACUCUGCAACUCGAGUGCAUGAAGUUGGAAUCGCUAGUAAUCGCAGAUCAGCACGCUGCGGUGAAUACGUUCCCGGGCCUUGUACACACCGCCCGUCACGCCAUGGAAGUUGGUUUUACCUGAAGCCGGUUGGCUAACCGCAAGGAGGCCGCCGACCACGGUAAGGUCAAUGACUGGGGCGA